This 1056-nucleotide ribosomal RNA is filed under the name Vibrio aestuarianus. Its description in RNAcentral is "partial 23S ribosomal RNA". It matches the Rfam family "Bacterial large subunit ribosomal RNA", at positions 397 to 1454 of the family's 2925-position model. Lineage: Bacteria; Pseudomonadati; Pseudomonadota; Gammaproteobacteria; Vibrionales; Vibrionaceae. The record is from RNAcentral.
UCUAAGUGAAAACGAGUAAGGCGGGACACGUGAUAUCCUGUUUGAAUAUGGGGGGACCAUCCUCCAAGGCUAAAUACUACUGACUGACCGAUAGUGAACCAGUACCGUGAGGGAAAGGCGAAAAGAACCCCUGUGAGGGGAGUGAAAUAGAACCUGAAACCGUGUACGUACAAGCAGUAGGAGCAGGGCAAUGCCUUGUGACUGCGUACCUUUUGUAUAAUGGGUCAGCGACUUAUAUUCAGUGGCAAGGUUAACCGUAUAGGGGAGCCGUAGGGAAACCGAGUCUUAACUGGGCGCUUUAGUCUCUGGAUAUAGACCCGAAACCGAGUGAUCUAGCCAUGGGCAGGUUGAAGAUUGAGUAACAUCAAUUGGAGGACCGAACCGACUAAUGUUGAAAAAUUAGCGGAUGACUUGUGGCUAGGGGUGAAAGGCCAAUCAAACUCGGAGAUAGCUGGUUCUCCCCGAAAGCUAUUUAGGUAGCGCCUCGGACGAAUACUACUGGGGGUAGAGCACUGUUAAGGCUAGGGGGUCAUCCCGACUUACCAACCCUUUGCAAACUCCGAAUACCAGUAAGUACUAUCCGGGAGACACACGGCGGGUGCUAACGUCCGUCGUGGAGAGGGAAACAACCCAGACCGCCAGCUAAGGUCCCAAAUUACUACUAAGUGGGAAACGAUGUGGGAAGGCUCAGACAGCCAGGAUGUUGGCUUAGAAGCAGCCAUCAUUUAAAGAAAGCGUAAUAGCUCACUGGUCGAGUCGGCCUGCGCGGAAGAUGUAACGGGGCUAAGUAGUAAACCGAAGCUGCGGCUGCAAUCGCAAGAUUGUGGGGUAGGGGAGCGUUCUGUAAGCCGUUGAAGGUGUGUUGUAAAGCAUGCUGGAGGUAUCAGAAGUGCGAAUGCUGACAUGAGUAACGAUAAUGGGGGUGAAAAACCCCCACGCCGGAAGACCAAGGGUUCCUGUCCAACGUUAAUCGGGGCAGGGUAAGUCGACCCCUAAGGCGAGGCUGAAAAGCGUAGUCGAUGGGAAACGGGUUAAUAUUCCCGUACUGCUUAUAAU